Molecule: transfer RNA, 66 nt
Filed under: Cantharis sp. CAN01
Lineage: Eukaryota; Metazoa; Arthropoda; Insecta; Coleoptera; Cantharidae
Description: tRNA-His
Source: RNAcentral
AUUUAAAUAGUUUAAUAAAAAUAUUGAUUUGUGGAAUCAAAGUUGUAUAAAUUUAUAUUUUAAAUA